GACAGAGGCCUCAAGCGUUAAUCGGAAUCACUGGGCUUAAAGGGUGCGUAGGCGGCCCAGAAAGUGUCCUGUGAAAUCCCACGGCUCAACCGUGGAAUUGCGGGGCAAACUACUGGGCUUGAGGAAGGUAGAGGCGGGUGGAACGAUAGGUGGAGCGGUGGAAUGCGUAGAGAUCUAUCGGAACGCCGAAGGUGAAGACAGCCCGCUGGGCCUUUCCUGACGCUCAGGCACGAAAGCGUGGGGAGCAAACCGG
This 253-nucleotide ribosomal RNA is filed under the name uncultured bacterium. RNAcentral's name for it is "partial 16S ribosomal RNA". It matches the Rfam family "Bacterial small subunit ribosomal RNA", at positions 524 to 776 of the family's 1533-position model. The record is from RNAcentral.